GGUUACUUGUCAGAGUCCAGCGCUGCAUCUGACUUUUGGAACAGAUGCUGGAGAACAGUGCCUGUGAGGAGAACAUCCAGAAGCUGUCUCCUUUCCUGCAAAGGACAAAAACUUGAGCAAUAACGAUGGUGCCCCUUCAGGAAUGGUGCCCCAGUGAAGAAAAAUGAAAAGCCCACUCUACUGUAGAAAAGUCAUAUCAUAAGAAUGAAUCAUCAUAUACAUAGUUAAAAGUAUGCAGAAUGAGUGCAGAGUAUUAUUUCCAACAUUUGCAUCAUUUUUAAGAAGUGGAAGCAACAGAUUUGGAACAUGUUUUCAACAAUAACUCAAAUACUCAGCAAACACUAUGCUUUCACUGAUGUGAAGAACUAUAUAAAGACUACAACAAUGAAUACAUUAUGGAGGGUGAGUAAUGUAAAAUGUUUGUAACAUGCUGUAUUAGUGACAUUUCUAUAAAAUUGGCAGUGUAUGCGGAUUUUCAUUCAUUUAGCUGUUAUCACAUUUGUAAUGUUUCUAAUAAAAUAUUGAAUGUUAUUUAAAAGGUAGCUCAUUUUUAUGCUUUCCCAAAGUCAAAUUUUAUCCUAUACAUCUUCUCUUUUUCUCAAAUCAGUCUUUAAUGUUAGAAUCACCAAUAAACGUACUGACUUUUUGAAGGCAAUUUAAAUUAUUCUUUUUCCUGAGAUAGACUGAAGGGUCCCAUAUGUUGAUUAAGACUGAGUAACAUAGAGAGUAACUUGAAACCAGGGGAAACAUUUUUUGGAGAAGCUUUUGACCCAAACACUAACCAAAGAGAUAAAUUCUUUGCUGUGGUUUUAAGUAGUGGUGCCUAAACAACAUGAUAAAUGCACUGACAUUUACAGAGUUCCCAAUUAGAGCCAAGAUAUCUUAAUGCACUCUUUGGCAUCUCAGAGCACAUACACUCCAUACGAGGGGCUCAGAUUUAUGGUGUGAACGCAGCCUACCAUAUGCGCCACAGCUCUUUCCUAUUUAGCUCUUUCCUCCAGCAUCUGGACAGAUUUGCUUCUUUGUUUUGAUCAUUCCUUUCUUGACUAUUUGCAGACUACGUUUUCUCCUCUAAAAGCCUUUCAUCUAUUUUCUUCUCAUUCAGAUCUUCCAACAUAUAUCUGAAAUAGAAAAGAAAGGCAUUUACAACUGUUUGAC
RNAcentral lists this long non-coding RNA (1158 nucleotides) under Chinchilla lanigera (long-tailed chinchilla). RNAcentral describes it as "lncRNA (ENSCLAG00000027376.1)". Lineage: Eukaryota; Metazoa; Chordata; Mammalia; Rodentia; Chinchillidae. The record is from RNAcentral.